AGCGAAUCCCACCCACAGAUCCCCCGCCGUGCUCGAGCGCGAGCGCCUCCUCGCUCCCUCAUCCAAGAAGCAGGCACGAGCAGGCGCCCCUCUCCCGCAGCUCGAACCUGAGCGAGUCGAUCGAGCGCCUCCUCGCACCCUCGUCCAUGAAGGAGGCAGCUCUCAAGGGCCCUUUUUCCCCGCAGCGAACCCAGUGGGUCAAGCCAAACCUCCCGCCGGCGAUCUGCAGUAGCACCCCGCUGGAUGCAGCAACUCCAGCACAACAAUGGCGCCGCCCAUGGAUCUCAGAACUGCCGCUGUCAUGCCCGCAUCAUUCGGAACCUUCACCGACACCCGCCGUCGCGAUCCUGCAUUUGCGUGUCAGCACCACAACAAUGGUGCCGCCCAGAUCUCAGAACUCCCGUCGGCAUGCCCGCGUCAUUCGUCGGAAUCUUCACCGACACCCGCCGUCGCGAUUCUGCAUGUGCGUGUCAGCAGGAGCAUCUCCCGCAUUAGCCUCAACUGCCUCUCGUCGUCUCCUUCUCUUUUGAGUCACAGGCCGGCGGCGAGCUCGUGGAGGCAUGGAGGCAUGGAGGCCCGGCAGCCAUGGCUUGCUGCGAAGGAGAGAGAGAGAGAGAGGGAGGUGAGAGAUAGAACUGGAGGGCGAGGAGGGAAGGAGAGGAGGAGGCCGGCGCCGACGACCUCGUGGCUCUUGGCGACGCCAAGCCACGCCUGGCCCUCUGCCGGAGCCGGAGCGCCGCGGCGUCUCGCCCCAAGAGAGCAAGCCGGCCGCCUUAUCGCCCUCCGUCGCGACGCUUCAUCCCGUCAAGGCCAGCUCCGGAGGCCGGCGCCGACGAACUCGUGCCGCGGCAAGCGUGCCGGCGGCGCCUGCCCGUCUGUGGAGGCCGGCAGUGGAUAAGUGGCCGUGGUGGCCGUGGUGGCAGGGUUCUUUUUGCAAAAUACGAAACGUUAUCUCACCAGGACAAACUUUAAAUUGGACUGCGGGUUGAAUAUUAAGAAAUAGAGGGACUUUUUCGUAAAAACGCCGACGACGUACGGGCAGAAGCACUCCGUGCUUUAUUAGUAGGGAAAGAUUAAUUCCGAUGCAUGGUUAUUUAAAUAUGAGCAAUGCAAGAAAAUGG
This 1121-nucleotide ribosomal RNA is filed under the name Triticum aestivum (bread wheat). RNAcentral's name for it is "partial small subunit ribosomal RNA". The record is from RNAcentral. Lineage: Eukaryota; Viridiplantae; Streptophyta; Magnoliopsida; Poales; Poaceae.